This is an RNA transcript of Phyllopteryx taeniolatus (common seadragon), 1752 nucleotides long. It is a transcript of the gene named CTD (carboxy-terminal domain, RNA polymerase II, polypeptide A) small phosphatase like 3, with no coding region annotated. The transcript is spliced from 10 exons. Lineage: Eukaryota; Metazoa; Chordata; Actinopteri; Syngnathiformes; Syngnathidae. The record is from RefSeq and is a predicted model, not a curated record.
AUCGCACCCAGCAUAUUUCAACGCACACAAAGGAGAGCACGAUUCGAGAGCAAGCGGGGAUUGGCGAGGCGGAGCUAAAGGAUCUCGUCGGAAAGGGAAACGAUGGAAACCAGCGAAACUCUGUGAACAACAAGUCUUAGCGUUAUGAGUUAUAAAUUUAGUGCUUAAUAACUUUACGUGUAAGGAAAGGAUAAAAUGAGACUCCGGUCACAGAGAACCGUGGCGCCCUACGCGGAGACGCCGAGAAAAACUCGCCAGCCGUCUCGCAACAAUGCCACACCGACAGUGAGACGAACUCGUCUGUCAGUACCACAAAGUCCAUUACAAGACAAGGUUGAGAAGACUUGUGAUGCUGAAGAUGUCCCCACAAUGACGCGGCGCCUGCUGCCCCGUGGGCGGCCAAGAAAAAGAGCCAUCGCUGCGGAUGACAAAGAAACGGAUUCUGCCUUCAAGACGCCACUCCGGUCCAUUUUGCGCCAUGAGCACAUACUUUCUGAGAUGGACCCACUGUCACCUCAUAAUUCAGCAGCCAGGAUGAGCUACACCCCCAUUGUUCGAUUUCUCACGCCUAGUAAAGAGAAUUACAAUAGUCCAGUAAAUAAUGUGAUGAUGAGCCCUGAACAAGGGGUGUUUGGUUAUGGUUCCAUUGACCUCCUGAUGGGAGACGAGGAUGACCACAUUUUCAGUCCCUUCACUUUCAUCAAGAACCUUCCAUCACAGUCUCAGUGUUCCCAGCCCAGACUGCCAGACAUCCCUCCUAAGACCAGGAGCACCCCAGAGGCCACGCUUGUGCUUGACCUGGAGGAAACGUUGAUGUUUGGCUCUCUGAAUGUGAUUGACAAUCCUGAAUACACGUUCCACACAGCUUUUCAGGAUCAUCAGUACAAGGUUUACAUGAUCCUACGACCACAUGUGAAGGAGUUCCUGCAGUCUGUGGCAAAAGUAUAUGAGCUCUUUGUUUACACCUGUGCAAAGAAAGAGUACGCUGAGAAGAUUCUGGACAUCCUGGACCCUCAAAGGAAGCUCUUUCGGUAUGACUUCAUGAAACUAUGCUUUCGGUUCCUCCCCUCACCUUUGGUCACGAACUGUGGGUCAAGACCGAAAUAACAAGAUCCCCGAUAAAAGCGGUCGAAAUGAGUUUCCUCCCCAGGGUGUCCAGGCUCUCCCUUAGAACGAGGGUGAGAAGCUCGGUCAUCCGGGAAGGGCUCAGAGUAGAGCCGCUGCUCCUCUGAAUUGAGAGGAGCCAGGUGAGGUGGCUCAGGCAACUGAUUAGGAUGCCUACUGGGCGCCUCCCUGGUGAGGUAUUCCGGGCAUAUCCCACCGGGAGGAGACCCCUGCGAUGACCCAGGACACGUUGUAGAGACUAUAUCUUCCGGCUGCCCUGGGACCCCCUCGGGAUCUACCGGAAGAGCUGGGUGAAAUGGCUGAGGAGAGGGGGCUUCCCUGCUGAAGCUACUGCCCCCGUGACCCAACCUGAUAAGCGGAACAAAAUGGAUGGAAGGAUAAAUGAAUAACUGUGACACUCCUCUGUUUCUCCACUGAUUGUUCUCGCAGCCACCGUCUCUAUCAGGAUGAGUGUGCCUGUGUCCUCGGCCACUACAUUAAAGAUCUCAGCAUCCUGGGGAGAGAUCUCUCCAAGAUUGUGGUUUUGGACAACGCACCCCACACCUACCCCUACCAUUUGAUGAACACUCUUCCCAUCAAGAGUUGGUCUGGUGAGUCAGAUGAUAGAGAACUCCAGAAGCUCAUCCC